Molecule: ribosomal RNA, 497 nt
Filed under: uncultured bacterium
Lineage: Bacteria
Description: partial 16S ribosomal RNA
Rfam family: Bacterial small subunit ribosomal RNA
Source: RNAcentral
GAUGAACGCUGGCGGCGCGCCUAAUACAUGCAAGUCGAACGCAUAGCGAAAGGUGCUUGCACCUUUCAAGUGAGUGGCGAACGGGUGAGUAACACGUGGACAACCUGCCUCAAGGCUGGGGAUAACAUUUGGAAACAGAUGCUAAUACCGAAUAAAACUUAGUGUCGCAUGACACAAAGUUAAAAGGCGCUUCGGCGUCACCUAGAGAUGGAUCCGCGGUGCAUUAGUUAGUUGGUGGGGUAAAGGCCUACCAAGACAAUGAUGCAUAGCCGAGUUGAGAGACUGAUCGGCCACAUUGGGACUGAGACACGGCCCAAACUCCUACGGGAGGCUGCAGUAGGGAAUCUUCCACAAUGGGCGAAAGCCUGAUGGAGCAACGCCGCGUGUGUGAUGAAGGCUUUCGGGUCGUAAAGCACUGUUGUAUGGGAAGAACAGCUAGAAUAGGAAAUGAUUUUAGUUUGACGGUACCAUACCAGAAAGGGACGGCUAAAUACGUG